AUGAAUGGACGUCAAGUCCAACAUCAGCUCUGUGGAGGUCCACAGCUCCCAUCGGAGACAGACUUCUUCGAAAGAUUAAUGUUCUUUUCAACACGGAGGGAAAAAAGAGGGCAAAAAGCAAACCACCCAGGCCUUCCAAGAAAGAAGCCAAAGAAAGAAAACUAUGUCACUGAUGGUAACGCUGCCUGCGGUAUUUUCAUCGCCGUCCACUCCAACGUUGUCAUUGUCAUGGUCACCACGGUAUCGCUAGUCUCUGUAGCUGUUGCAUUCACCGUGUUUCCACAUGUGGGUACAGACGUCUGGCUCCUUUACACUGGUGUCUCACUGUGGGGCCAUGUAAGGAAGAAGGAGCGCACUCGUGAGCACUUUUAUACUUUGGACUAUUCCUCUACAGCAUCAUUUAAAAUGCCUGCCUUGGAACAGGUCAGAAGUCUGGAGAGAUUACAUAAGAAUGACAUAUUACAAAACUGUAGAUGUCUGAUACAACGUUUAGUGUUCUGGAAAUCCGAGGUGAAGAGUCGUUCCCGGCGGGUCAUCUGA
RNAcentral lists this long non-coding RNA (540 nucleotides) under Canis lupus familiaris (dog). RNAcentral describes it as "lncRNA (ENSCAFG00030002389.1)". The record is from RNAcentral. Lineage: Eukaryota; Metazoa; Chordata; Mammalia; Carnivora; Canidae.